GCUUUGGUGGGGUAGUGGUAACCUGGGUCGUUGCCACGACUUGUGAAUUCGACCCGCCGGGGGUUCGAUUCCCUCCCAAAGCA
Mycena amicta is the source of this 83-nucleotide non-coding RNA. The record is from the annotation of a GenBank genome assembly. Lineage: Eukaryota; Fungi; Basidiomycota; Agaricomycetes; Agaricales; Mycenaceae.